ACGGGAGGCAGCAGUAGGGAAUAUUGCACAAUGGGGGAAACCCUGAUGCAGCAACGCCACGUGUGGGAAGAAGCAUUUCGGUGUGUAAACCACUGUCGUGAAGGAAUAAUGCUGGACCUCGGUCCAGUUGAAUGUACUUUGAAAGGAAGCACCGGCAAACUUCGUGCCAGCAGCCGCGGUAAUACGAGGGGUGCAAGCGUUGUGCGGAAUCACUGGGCGUAAAGGGAGCGCAGGCGGAGAUGCAAGCGGUCUGUACAAUCCCGGGGCCUAACCCCGGACCUGCAGACCGGACUGUUUCUCUUGGAUAGCUCAGGGGCUGGCGGAAUUCCUGGUGUAGCGGUGGAAUGCGUAGAGAUCAGGAAGAACACCGAUGGCGAAGGCAGCUUGCUGGGGACUUAUCGACGCUCAUGCUCGAAAGUGCGGGUAGCAAACAGGAUUAGAUACCCUGGUA
This 451-nucleotide ribosomal RNA is filed under the name uncultured Fibrobacter sp. Its description in RNAcentral is "partial 16S ribosomal RNA". It matches the Rfam family "Bacterial small subunit ribosomal RNA", at positions 341 to 792 of the family's 1533-position model. The record is from RNAcentral. Lineage: Bacteria; Pseudomonadati; Fibrobacterota; Fibrobacteria; Fibrobacterales; Fibrobacteraceae.